This 350-nucleotide long non-coding RNA is filed under the name Vitis vinifera (wine grape). Its description in RNAcentral is "long non-coding RNA (VVIN_LNC005615)". Lineage: Eukaryota; Viridiplantae; Streptophyta; Magnoliopsida; Vitales; Vitaceae. The record is from RNAcentral.
CAUAGCCAACAUGCAGACAAGGCAGGAGGGAGUGUUGCAAGGUGCAAUGCCAUGGGUGGUCCUUAAAGAGGAAAGAAUGGCCCAUAGGUUGGGUGUACAUGCAGGUUUAACAUGGAUCAAGAUAAGUCUGGCAUCAGCAUGCAUGGAAUUGGCAUUGGGCUGAGCAACUGACAUGCAAGACCUUAAGCAAGCAUGGUUUGGCAAGACCUGCAAGUAUUUUAGGACCAGAAGGCAAGGCAAAAACCAAGUCAAGGAAGCAGUGAAGUAGUUAAAAUUGUCUGUGGUAAUUAGAUAGCAACCUCAAUUUCCAUGCGUAAGCAUGGUUUGGCAAGACCUGCAAGUAUUUUAGG